This 509-nucleotide ribosomal RNA is filed under the name uncultured bacterium. RNAcentral's name for it is "partial 16S ribosomal RNA". It matches the Rfam family "Bacterial small subunit ribosomal RNA", at positions 28 to 523 of the family's 1533-position model. The record is from RNAcentral.
GACGAACGCUGGCGGCGCGCUUAACACAUGCAAGUCGAGCGAGAACCUGGGCUUCGGCCCUGGGGACAGCGGCGAACGGGUGAGUAACACGUGGGUAAUCUGCCCUUGACAUCGGGAUAGCCCGGGGAAACCCGGAUUAAUACCGAAUAGCCUCCGGAGCCUUCGGGCGCCGGAGAAAAGGUAGCUUCGGCCUCUGGUCGAGGAUGAGCCCGCGGCGGAUUAGCUUGUUGGCGGGGUAACGGCCCACCAAGGCGACGAUCCGUAGCUGGUCUGAGAGGACGAUCAGCCACACUGGGACUGAGACACGGCCCAGACUCCUACGGGAGGCAGCAGUGGGGAAUCUUGCGCCAAUGCGGGAAACCGUGACGCAGCGACGCCGCGUGGGGGAAGAAGGCCUUCGGGUUGUAAACCUCUUUCAGGAGGGACGAAGCCACUCGGGUGAAUAGCCCAGAGGGUGACGGUACCUCCAGAAGAAGCCCCGGCUAACUACGUGCCAGCAGCCGCCGCGG